GUUAGAACAGGGUGGUAUCCAUAGAGAUAGAUAGAGGACUCAUCUAUACAGACCAUCAGGACCACGGUACCAAUGUUAGAACAGGGUGGUAUCCAUAGAGAUAGAUAGAGGACUCAUCUAUACAGACCAUCAGGACCACACCACCAAUGUUAGAACAGGGUGGUAUCCAUAGAGAUAGAUAGAGGACUCAUCUAUACAGACCAUCAGGACCACGGUACCACAACACCACCGUUAGAACAGGGUGGUAUCCAUAGAGAUAGAUAGAGGACUCAUCUAUACAGACCAUCAGGACCACGGUACCAUAACACCAACGUUAGAACAGGGUGGUAUCCAUAGAGAUAGAUAGAGGACUCAUCUAUACAGACCAUCAGGGCCACGGUACCAUAACACCAACGUUAGAACAGGGUGGUAUCCAUAGAGAUAGAUAGAGGACUCAUCUAUACAGACCAUCAGGACCACGGUACCAUAACACCAACGUUAGAACAGGGUGGUAUCCAUAGAGAUAGAUAGAGGACUCAUCUAUCUAUCUG
Oncorhynchus keta (chum salmon) is the source of this 530-nucleotide long non-coding RNA. RefSeq lists it as uncharacterized. The transcript is spliced from 3 exons. Lineage: Eukaryota; Metazoa; Chordata; Actinopteri; Salmoniformes; Salmonidae. The record is from RefSeq and is a predicted model, not a curated record.